GAUGAACGCUGGCGGCGUGCAUAACACAUUCAAGUCGAACGGAGUUAAUGGAAAGCUUGCUUGAAGUUAACUUAGUGGCGGACGGGUGAGUAACGCGUGAGCAACCUGCCUUUGUGAGGGGGACAACGACCGGAAACAGUCGCUAAUACCGCAUGAAGCAACGAAACCGCAUGAUUUUGUUGCCAAAGAUUUAUCGCACAAAGAUGGGCUCGCGUCUGAUUAGAUAGUUGGUGGGGUAACGGCCCACCAAGGCAACGAUCGGUAGCCGGACUGAGAGGUUGAACGGCCACAUUGGGACUGAGACACGGCCCAG
RNAcentral lists this ribosomal RNA (313 nucleotides) under uncultured bacterium. RNAcentral's name for it is "bacterial SSU rRNA". It matches the Rfam family "Bacterial small subunit ribosomal RNA", at positions 28 to 334 of the family's 1533-position model. The record is from RNAcentral.